RNAcentral lists this ribosomal RNA (1046 nucleotides) under uncultured archaeon. Its description in RNAcentral is "bacterial SSU rRNA". It matches the Rfam family "Archaeal small subunit ribosomal RNA", at positions 1 to 1054 of the family's 1478-position model. The record is from RNAcentral.
UCCGGUUGAUCCUGGCAGAGGUUACUGCUAUCGAGGUUCGACUAAGCCAUGCGAGUCGAAUGUAGCAAUACAUGGCGUACUGCUCAGUAACACGUGGAUAACCUACCCUUGAGACGGGGAUAAACCCGGGAAACUGGGUAUAAUACCCGAUAGAUCUCGACUGCUGGAAUGCAUCGAGCUUGAAAGCUCCGGCGCUCAAGGAUGGGUCUGCGGCCUAUCAGGUAGUAGUGGGUGUAGCGUACCUACUAGCCUACGACGGGUACGGGUUGUGAGAGCAAGAGCCCGGAGAUGGAUUCUGAGACACGAAUCCAGGCCCUACGGGGUGCAGCAGGCGCGAAAACUUUACAAUGCUGGAAACAGCGAUAAGGGGACCUCGAGUGCCAGGUUACAAAUCUGGCUGUCGUGAUGCCUAAAAAGCAUUGCAUAGCAAGGGCCGGGCAAGACCGGUGCCAGCCGCCGCGGUAACACCGGCGGCUCGAGUGGUAACCGUUAUUAUUGGGUCUAAAGGGUCUGUAGCCGGCCGGAUAAGUCUCUUGGGAAAUCUGGCAGCUUAACUGUCAGGCUUUCAGGAGAUACUGUCUGGCUCGAGGCCGGGAGAGGUGAGAGGUACUUCAGGGGUAGGGGUGAAAUCUUGUAAUCCUUGAAGGACCACCAGUGGCGAAGGCGUCUCACCAGAACGGACCUGACGGCAAGGGACGAAAGCUAGGGGCACGAACCGGAUUAGAUACCCGGGUAGUCCUAGCCGUAAACGAUACUCGCUAGGUGUCGGCAACGGUGCGACCGUUGUCGGUGCCGUAGGGAAGCCGUGAAGCGAGCCACCUGGGAAGUACGGCCGCAAGGCUGAAACUUAAAGGAAUUGGCGGGGGAGCACCACAACAGGUGGAGCUUGCGGUUUAAUUGGAUUCAACGCCGGAAAUCUUACCGGGACCGACAGCAAUAUGAAGGCCAGGCUGAAGACUUUGCCGGAUUAGCUGAGAGGUGGUGCAUGGCCGUCGUCAGUUCGUACUGUGAAGCAUCCUGUUAAGUCAGGCAACGAGCGAGACCCA